Ailuropoda melanoleuca (giant panda) is the source of this 70-nucleotide non-coding RNA. NCBI's taxonomy places the organism in Eukaryota, Metazoa, Chordata, Mammalia, Carnivora, Ursidae. The record is from Rfam.
GCCUGGGUGGCUCAGUCGUUGAGCAUCUGCUUUCAGCUCAGGGUCCUGGGAUCGAGCCCCACUUCAGGCU